UCCGGCUUUCACCGGCUGUCUCGUUAGAGUGCCCAACUGAAUGCUGGCAACUAAUGAUAAGGGUUGCGCUCGUUGCGGGACUGAACCCAACAUCUCACGACACGAGCUGACGACAACCAUGCACCACCUGUCUCCGCUGUCCCGUAGGAAACGCAUAUCUCUACGCGCGUCAGCGGGAUGUCAAGCCCUGGUAAGGUUCUUCGCGUUGCUUCGAAUUAAACCACAUGCUCCACCGCUUGUGCGGGCCCCCGUCAAUUCCUUUGAGUUUCAGCCUUGCGGCCGUACUCCCCAGGCGGAGUGCUUAAUGUGUUAACUUCGGCACUGAGGGUGGAGACCCCCAACACCUAGCACUCAUCGUUUACAGCGUGGACUAC
Molecule: unclassified non-coding RNA, 374 nt
Filed under: uncultured Thermoactinomycetaceae bacterium
Lineage: Bacteria; Bacillati; Bacillota; Bacilli; Caryophanales; Thermoactinomycetaceae
Description: contains 16S-23S intergenic spacer region
Source: RNAcentral